Manis javanica (Malayan pangolin) is the source of this 283-nucleotide non-coding RNA. NCBI's taxonomy places the organism in Eukaryota, Metazoa, Chordata, Mammalia, Pholidota, Manidae. The record is from RefSeq and is a predicted model, not a curated record.
GGAGGUGGCAUGAGAACAUCACCUACGAAGCACUGAGGUGAAGCUUCCCUGAGAAGAAACAGCAAUGCUCAAGAAGUGGAGGCUGCUGGCAAAAUGUUAGCGAAGUGGUGCAUUAUCUUACUAUCCCUGUAAAACUCUUCCUCCCAGGAUACUGACCACAAAGCCUAGUGAAAAAGGAAACUUCUGAAAGACGUAACUCAACAAAAUGAGGGUAUUAACCAAGAAAGAGGAAAACAAGGACCCAGAAACUGGAAGUCCAACAAAUAUACUGGGGAAUCUUAUA